RNAcentral lists this ribosomal RNA (310 nucleotides) under uncultured Pseudomonas sp. Its description in RNAcentral is "bacterial SSU rRNA". It matches the Rfam family "Bacterial small subunit ribosomal RNA", at positions 1074 to 1382 of the family's 1533-position model. Lineage: Bacteria; Pseudomonadati; Pseudomonadota; Gammaproteobacteria; Pseudomonadales; Pseudomonadaceae. The record is from RNAcentral.
UUGGUUAGGUUACCGCCGUAACGAGCGCAACCCUUGUCCUUAGUUACCAGCACGUUAUGGUGGGCACUCUAAGGAGACUGCCGGUGACAACCGGAGGAAGGUGGGGAUGACGUCAAGUCAUCAUGGCCCUUACGGCCUGGGCUACACACGUGCUACAAUGGUCGGUACAAAGGGUUGCCAAGCCGCGAGGUGGAGCUAAUCCCAUAAAACCGAUCGUAGUCCGGAUCGCAGUCUGCAACUCGACUGCGUGAAGUCGGAAUCGCUAGUAAUCGUGAAUCAGAAUGUCACGGUGAAUACGUUCCCGGGCCUU